CACAGAAUAGAAUUUGUAUUCAUAUUGUUCAUUAAGAAUGAGUUCGUCAACUGAUCGCUAUGCCACCAGAGAGCAUGAAAGCUCAGGCCAACAUUUGACUACGGGAAAGUCUUCAACAAAAAAGUUCUAACAAAGACACAGAGAAAUCAAAGGAAUCCAUGGCAUCUUAUGUGGGCGGAAAGACAAGUUCUGAUGGAAAAAAGGGUUCAAGAAGCAAACGUUGAAAGUAAACAAUACCAAAUCACAAACAGGAUUACUGGCAAAGGAAAAUAUGCA
This 276-nucleotide small RNA is filed under the name Vigna angularis var. angularis. RNAcentral describes it as "Non-protein coding transcript". Lineage: Eukaryota; Viridiplantae; Streptophyta; Magnoliopsida; Fabales; Fabaceae. The record is from RNAcentral.